Molecule: ribosomal RNA, 440 nt
Filed under: uncultured bacterium
Lineage: Bacteria
Description: partial 16S ribosomal RNA
Rfam family: Bacterial small subunit ribosomal RNA
Source: RNAcentral
CCUACGGGUGGCAGCAGUGGGGAAUAUUGCACAAUGGGGGAAACCCUGAUGCAGCGACGCCGCGUGCGUGAGGAAGUAUUUCGGUAUGUAAAGCUCUAUCAGCAGGGAAGAAAAUGACGGUACCUGACUAAGAAGCCCCGGCUAACUACGUGCCAGCAGCCGCGGUAAUACGUAGGGGGCAAGCGUUAUCCGGAUUUACUGGGUGUAAAGGGAGCGUAGACGGCUAAUCAAGUCAGAAGUGAAAACCCAGGGCUCAACUUUGGGACUGCUUUGGAAACUGUGUAACUGGAGUACAGGAGGGGCAGGCGGAAUUCCUGGUGUAGCGGUGAAAUGCGUAGAUAUCAGGAGGAACACCGGCGGCGAAGGCGGCCUGCUGGACUGAAACUGACGUUGAGGCUCGAAAGCGUGGGGAGCAAACAGGAUUAGAUACCCGAGUAGUC